GGAGAGGUGGCCGAGUGGUCGAAGGCGCUCCCCUGCUAAGGGAGUGUGCUAGAGAUAGUACCGAGGGUUCGAAUCCCUUCCUCUCCGCCA
Molecule: transfer RNA, 90 nt
Filed under: Hyphobacterium sp.
Lineage: Bacteria; Pseudomonadati; Pseudomonadota; Alphaproteobacteria; Maricaulales; Maricaulaceae
Description: tRNA-Ser
Rfam family: tRNA
About the family: Transfer RNA (tRNA) molecules are approximately 80 nucleotides in length. Their secondary structure includes four short double-helical elements and three loops (D, anti-codon, and T loops).
Source: RNAcentral